GGAAAAGAAAACAAAGUAAGAAAGAAAAAAACAAAACCGUAUUGUGAUUUAUAGCGUUAAUUAUUUUAUGGAAAGAGGAAAGCUCUCGUUGGAUAAA
This is a long non-coding RNA of Drosophila guanche, 97 nucleotides long. RefSeq lists it as uncharacterized. The record is from RefSeq and is a predicted model, not a curated record. NCBI's taxonomy places the organism in Eukaryota, Metazoa, Arthropoda, Insecta, Diptera, Drosophilidae. The transcript has 2 exons.